GCCAGGUGGAUAGCUGAGAUGGUGGUCUAUUGGUAAGGCUAAAGGUGGGCCAGGUGGAUAGCUGAGAUGGUGAUGUAUUGGUAAGGCUUAAGGUGGGCCAGGUGGCUAGCUGAGAUGGUGAUGUAUUGGUAAGGCUAAAGGUGGCCAGGUAGCUAGCUGAGAGGGUGGUCUAUUGGUAAGGCUAAAGGUGGGCCAGGUAGCUAGCUGAGAGGGUGAUAAGGCUAAAGGUGGGCCAGGUGGCUAGCUGAGAGGGUGGUCUAUUGGUAAGGCUAAAGGUGGGCCAGGUGGCUAGCUGAGAGGGUGAUAAGGCUAAAGGUGGCCAGGUGGCUAGCUGAGAGGGUGAUAAGGCUAAAGGUGGGACAAGUGGAUAGCUGAGAGGGUGGUCUAUUGGUAAAGCUAAAGGUGGCCAGGCAGCCAGCUGAGAGGGUGGUCUAUUGGUAAGGCUAAAGGUGGGCCAGGUGGCUAGCUGAGAUGGUGAUAAGGCUAAAGAUGGCCCAGGUGGAUAGCUGAGAGGGUGAUAAUGCUAAAGGUGGGCCAGGUGGAUAUCUGAGAUGGUGAUAAGGCUAAAGGUGGCCAGGUGGCCAGCUGAGAGGGUGGUCUAUUGGUAAGGCUAACGGUGGGCCAGUGGCUAGCUUAGAUGAUGAUAAGGCUAAAGGUGGCCAGGUGGCUAGCUGAGAGGGUGGUCUAUUGGUAAGGCUAAAGGUGGCUAGCUGAGAGGGUGAUCUAUUGAUAAGGCUAACGGUGGCCACCUGAGAUGGUGGUCUAUUGGUAAGGCUGAAGGUGGCCAGGUGGCUAGCUGAGAGGGUGAUCUAUUGGUA
Molecule: long non-coding RNA, 818 nt
Organism: Oncorhynchus tshawytscha (Chinook salmon)
Lineage: Eukaryota; Metazoa; Chordata; Actinopteri; Salmoniformes; Salmonidae
Exons: 3
Source: RefSeq, a predicted model, not a curated record